UACCGGCGGCUCGAGUGGUGGCCGAUAUUAUUGAGUCUAAAGGGUCCGUAGCCGGCUUUGCAAGUCCUUCGGGAAAUCCAGCGGCUUAACCGUUGGGCUGCCGGGGGUACUACAUUGCUUGGGACUGGGAGAGGCGAGAGGUACUCAGGGGGUAGGAGUGGAAUCCUGUAAUCCUUUGGGGACCACCGGUGGCGAAGGCGUCUCGCCAGAACAGGUCCGACGGUGAGGGACGAAAGCUAGGGGCA
RNAcentral lists this ribosomal RNA (245 nucleotides) under uncultured archaeon. Its description in RNAcentral is "partial 16S ribosomal RNA". It matches the Rfam family "Archaeal small subunit ribosomal RNA", at positions 474 to 719 of the family's 1478-position model. The record is from RNAcentral.